ACUCCUGCGGGAGGCAGCAGUGGGGAAUAUUGGACAAUGGGGGCAACCCUGAUCCAGCCAUGCCGCGUGAGUGAUGAAGGCCCUAGGGUUGUAAAGCUCUUUUGUGCGGGAAGAUAAUGACGGUACCGCAAGAAUAAGCCCCGGCUAACUUCGUGCCAGCAGCCGCGGUAAUACGAAGGGGGCUAGCGUUGCUCGGAAUCACUGGGCGUAAAGGGUGCGUAGGCGGGUCUUUAAGUCAGGGGUGAAAUCCUGGAGCUCAACUCCAGAACUGCCUUUGAUACUGAGGAUCUUGAGUCCGGAAGAGGUGAGUGGAACUGCGAGUGUAGAGGUGAAAUUCGUAGAUAUUCGCAAGAACACCAGUGGCGAAGGCGGCUCACUGGUCCGGUACUGACGCUGAGGCACGAAAGCGUGGGGAGCAAACAGGAUUAGAAACCCCGGUAGUCCC
RNAcentral lists this ribosomal RNA (445 nucleotides) under uncultured organism. Its description in RNAcentral is "partial 16S ribosomal RNA". It matches the Rfam family "Bacterial small subunit ribosomal RNA", at positions 335 to 797 of the family's 1533-position model. The record is from RNAcentral.